CGCACGGGUGAGUAACACGUAAGUAAUCUACCCUCGAGUGGGGAAUAACAACCGGAAACGGUUGCUAAUACCGCAUAAUGCAGCGGCACCGCAAGGUGACAGUUGUUAAAGAUUUAUCGCUUGAGGAGGAGCUUGCGGCAGAUUAGCUAGUUGGUAAGGUAAUGGCUUACCAAGGCUACGAUCUGUAACCGGUCUAAGAGGACGGUCGGUCACACUGACACUGAAUAACGGGUCAG
RNAcentral lists this ribosomal RNA (236 nucleotides) under uncultured bacterium. RNAcentral's name for it is "partial 16S ribosomal RNA". It matches the Rfam family "Bacterial small subunit ribosomal RNA", at positions 99 to 334 of the family's 1533-position model. The record is from RNAcentral.